UACGGUAUGAGACUCUCUAAAGCGCGAGAACGCCACGCACUCUCUACUCUCUAGCCUAUGCUUUCAGCUCAGCAGCGUUAUUGGAAGAGCCCAGCCCAGAUUAUCGAGCCCAAAGGCCCAUGCUCCACGCACCACCUCGUGCUUAGCCCGCCGCCGGCGGUGCUCGUUGAGGGCGGGGCGGGGCGGAGACGGGAGCCGCUGCCACAGCUGCACCCCGUGGCGCACGGCCGCGGUGGCGCGGUCCAGUGCCCACUGCCAAGUGCCCAUUUCGACCACACAGGUAUGGUUAUCAGCAGUUUCUCAAUAGUUGACUUUGUCCCUUUUACAGUUGCUGGGUUGGUAGCCGACGAGUGUACUGUUCACCUGAUCAUAUCUUGGUCUGAAGCACAACAUUGUUCCUGUGUUAGUUCCAGUCCCGGCUAGCUCAACAACCAGAUGCAUUAUUGACGCUUUGUCUGGGUUCUCACAUCUUUGGUAGUUCAUCUGUGGUAUGCCUAGAGGGGUCUUUCACUCUAUCCCAAAUAUGAUAUAUCGAUUAUUUGAUUGCCUACCCCAACCUGCAUGGAAUGGGACAAAGAGGCUUUGUUGUUGUAAUUUUAGAUCGAUAGCUAUCGUUAGAUGCAAUUCUGCACUCGGAUUGAACAAAUCUUCAUAACAUUAUAUAUCAAUAACAAUGGCGUUUUCUCCUGAUUUAGAGCACAAAUUACAACAGAAUCUAGCAUGGAUAUUAUUGAAGAAAUGUUACAGUUAAUUUUUUUUUCUCUCAUCUAUAUGUUAUUUGUUCCCCUUAGUACAAACAACCUUAUUUAUGCAGGCUUUAAGCAGGUCCUGCCAUUACAUUUGUGCUACUGACAUCAUCUACUAAAGCAAGCAUCUGGGCCACAUUUUCCAUGGUUGGUCUUCUGUCUCUAUCUUCCUCCAUGCAUGAAACAGCCAGUCUCAUCAUUGUUCUUGCUUGGAUAUUGUUGAAUUGACCAUUUAGUCUAGCGUCAAUAAAGUCGGCGAUCCAAGAUUGUUCACUGCCACUGCCAUCCAACUUCAGCUUUUCUUUGGCCAUCCUUGAUAUCCUUCCAAGGACCAUCUCCACUUCCUCAUCCUCAUUAUUUUCCAUGUCAGAGGCACGAACUCCCUUGAGUAGUUCUAGUAGCACCACUCCAAAGCUGUAGACAUCAACCUUUGCUGUAAUUGGGAGACUAGAAACCCAUUCAGGCGCUAAAUAACCUCUAGUUCCUUGGAUCUUUGAAACAUUUAUGUUGGAUCCACCUCUGCUCUGGAGCUUUGCAAGGCCAAAGUCAGCAAUCUUUGGCACCAAGUUCUCAUCCAGCAGUAUAUUUUCGGGCUUCACAUCACAGUGGAUGACCCACUCUGAACACUCGUGGUGAAGAUAUGCCAGUCCUCUAGCCACCCCUAGGGCAAUGUUAAAUCUUUGCUUCCAUCCAAGUAAAAUUUCUGAACCCUCAGUACCAAAUAAGACUUUAUCCAAUGAACCAUUCUCAAAAUAUUCUGUAACCAAUAUCCUGUGUGGACCAUCAGAACAGAAACCCCAAACUCUCACAAGAUUCAUAUGGUAAAUCCUACUAAUCACACUCAGUUCAUGCUGGAAUUCUUCUUCACCUUGGUUUAUUUCUGCCAACUUUUUCACAGCUACUGCCCUGUUGUCUUUCAGGACUCCUUUGUAUACAAUGCCUGAUGAUCCCCUUCCAAUUUCAUCCUUGAACUUUCUAGUCGCUGACACCAACUCUCUGUAGGUGUACCUGCGAAAAUGGUUAGUUAUCAUUUCAUAUCCAGCCUCAGCUGGCCAUACUCCUCUCAGUUCCCUGCGCUCCCUCCUCAGAAUAAACCAUCCAAAUACAACAAACAUAAGCUCUGCCAGAAAUAUUGCUGAUAAAAAUCCAUAGAAGUACAAAUACUUCAACUCACUCUGAUCUCUCUUAAGCAUACCCAGAAAAUCUGCUACAAAGUAUUUAUUUGGUGUGCUACAGUCAGGACCAUACUUAGGAGCAAAAGGUUGUGACUGCGGAAUUGAGGCAUCCAACACUUCUAGUCCCUUAGGAAUCUUGAUGUACAUGGUACCAGUACUACCAAGGUUAUGCAGGGUUACACCACCAAGCAUAAUAGACUUUGGAUAGCAAUCUCCAGUUCCUUCCCAGUAGGCAAAACCCUUACAAUUGCAGUCAUGCAAGCAUUUGUUCAUGCAAAAGUCAAGAGAAACGAAAUGGUGGGUAGUCAUAUCAUACCCCAAGAAAUCAGUGUGGGGUAGCUUAGCAAAUUUCACCUUCUGUGCAUCACAACUGAUGUUGGUCUUUGGUCUGCAGCCUUUGCUCCGGUCGCUUGGGUCAAUGACUACAAAACCAGGGGCACACACACAAGCAGGUGCAGGCGUAUACACGCAUAUUCCAUUUUCACCGCACAAACCGCGUACUUUGCAGAGCUGAG
RNAcentral lists this long non-coding RNA (2436 nucleotides) under Setaria italica (foxtail millet). RNAcentral's name for it is "long non-coding RNA (SITA_LNC003260)". The record is from RNAcentral. Lineage: Eukaryota; Viridiplantae; Streptophyta; Magnoliopsida; Poales; Poaceae.